UACUAGCGGUCCAAGUCGCAACCACAUUUAUUGGGUCUAAAACAUCCGUAGCUUGCUUGAUAAGUUUCUUGUGAAAUUCUAUGUCUCAAACAUAGAGCGUGCAAGAAAUACUAUCUAGCUAGAGAUCGGGAGACGUAAGGAGUACGUUUAAAGUAGUAGUAAAAUGCUUUAAUCUUAAGCGGACUAACAAUAGCGAAGGCACCUUACGAGAACGGUUCUGACAGUCAGGGAUGAAGGCUAGGGGCGCAAAACGGAUUAGAUACCCGUGUAGUCCUAGCAGUAAACACUGCACACUAAACAUUAGUGUCUCCUCGAGAGACAUUAGUGCUGAAGGGAAGCCGGAGAGUGUGCUACCUGGGAAGUAUAGUCGCAAGGCUGAAACUUAAAGGAAUUGGCGGGGAGACACUACAACGGGUGACGCGUGCGGUUCAAUUAGAUUAUACACCGUGAACCUUACCAGGAGCGACAGCAGAAUGAAGGUCAGUCUGAAGGGCUUACCUGACACGCUGAGAGGAGUUGCAUGGCCGACGUCAGCCUGUGUCGUGAGAUGACCUGUUAAAUCAGGUAACAGGCAAAACCCACAUGUAUAUUUGCCAAGUGCACCAUAUACAGAUUGCCUUGGAAACGAGGAUGAGAGUGUGGUCUACGUUAGGUGAGUACAGCCCGAAUCCCCUGGGCUACAGGCGCGCGUCAAUGGUGGAUACAACGAGUUGCGACUCUGAAAAGAGGAGCCAAUCUCUAAAAUCCAUCUCAGUCCAGAUUGAGGUUUGUAACUCAGCCUCAUGACGAUGGAAUCCGUAGUAAUCGUUUAUUAUCAAUGAACGGUGAAUAAGUCACUGUCUCU
RNAcentral lists this ribosomal RNA (844 nucleotides) under uncultured archaeon. Its description in RNAcentral is "bacterial SSU rRNA". It matches the Rfam family "Archaeal small subunit ribosomal RNA", at positions 474 to 1337 of the family's 1478-position model. The record is from RNAcentral.